UAACAAAGAGAAGCGAGACGGAGACGUUAAGCGAACCCAAAAAAGUAAGUCUCAGUUCGGAUUGAAGGCUGAAAUUCGCCUUCAUGAAGCCGGAAUUGCUAGUAAUGGCAGGUCAGCAUACUGCCGUGAAUACGUUCCCGGGCCUUGUACACACCGCCCGUCACACCAUGAGAGUUGGGAAUACCCGAAGCCUGUGAGCUAACGUAAGAGGCAGCAGUCGAAGGUAGAAUCAAUGAAUUGGGGUGAAGUCGUAACAAGGUAAC
RNAcentral lists this ribosomal RNA (263 nucleotides) under uncultured bacterium. Its description in RNAcentral is "partial 16S ribosomal RNA". It matches the Rfam family "Bacterial small subunit ribosomal RNA", at positions 1237 to 1500 of the family's 1533-position model. The record is from RNAcentral.